Tripterygium wilfordii is the source of this 1004-nucleotide long non-coding RNA. RefSeq lists it as uncharacterized. The record is from RefSeq and is a predicted model, not a curated record. The transcript has 3 exons. NCBI's taxonomy places the organism in Eukaryota, Viridiplantae, Streptophyta, Magnoliopsida, Celastrales, Celastraceae.
GACUUGACUUCAAAUUUGAUACAUAUGCGGAGCAGGGGUUAUGCGAUGAGGAGAGGUAUUAUAUCUAUGGUUCUAAUGUCUCUUUCUGAAGUGCUUAAUGGCAUUUGUACAAUGUUUCAUCGGAUUACUGGAUGCUCGGAACAGAUAGAUGGUUAUAGUACUUGGGACUCCAUUUAUGUAACUGAUGUAUCUUUCUGAAGUGCUUAGUGUUUUUUUCACAAUAUUUCGUUGGAUUUUCUGGAUACUUGGAACGGUUAGAUAGUUGUGAUAUUUGGGUUGGGUAUUGCAUUGUAUAGUUGUGUUAAGAGUUUGAGCAUUUCACCCCAUUGCACUUCAAGAUGGACCCAUCGCCAAAAGUAUCUGAUAAUGCUAAGGACCUGGGGAAAAAAAAGCUUGAAGAGCUUCAGCGGUGGCUAUCAGCUCAGGAAGUCCUUGACCAUCCCUGGCUACAAAAUGCUAACAAGGCUCCAAAUGACUCACUGGGUGAGACUGUGAUAGCAAGGCUAAAACAAAUUCUAUGAUGAACAAGCUAAAGAAAAGAGCUUUAAGGAUUAUGCUACCCUUAUGGCGAUAAUAUACAGUAUGAUGAAGCAGGACCAUGUGAUGCAGGUAGUGAGACCAGACCACCCUUUCAUUCAUAUUUCCUGGAUUCAUCCUUUGCAUUGUUGCCACUUUCUGUCUUUUGUUUUUCGGUAAGUCGCCACAUUUUGUCUUGCUAAUUGAUGAUUGCUUUUUUUAAAAAAAAAUUCUGUUGCAGGAAAGAAUUUUUACAUCUUUAAGUCUGAAGACAUCAUCAGGAGAAUUAGAGAGUUACAGCCUAAUGUGGUCUCUGCGGCCUUUCAUUGAUGAUGAGAGUAUGCAUCGGCCUUUGAGGCUCAUCCCUUGGGCUUCAAAUCUUUGUUUAGUUUAAUAUUUAUAUACUCAAAUCAUUAACGCUGUCCACUUUGUUGGUGGAUUUCAUGUACAUCACAUGGGACAUUUUUAUCAUAUGUUCAACUUCUGUC